UUGUUCCUUUGCAUUGUUCUUUCUGUUUUCUCUUCCUGCACCAAAAGAGUGAUUGUUAAUACCUUUAUUUAUUAGGGAGACUUCAUUUCCACGUGUACCUGACUUGGUGAAAAUGUUUAUGAUACUUUAUUCUUUUGUUGCAGCUUCAUUUCAAUCUGGAUGAAGAUCCUUCAGCCUAUUUUGGCCUCUUUUCCACUCAGAACUUUUUCUUAAAAACAUAGCCAAAUAACAAUCACAUCCACCUUGUACCUCUACCUUUCAUGGUCUGGUUCUCCAUCCACUGAGCUACCCAGCUGCCCCUGAACUCACAUCUCCUUAUAUCCAGCAUUGACAGUCUAUCUGCUUAUAACACUUAGCUGCAAUUCCUUUGGAGAAGAGACUCACAUACCCACCAUUGGCUGAGGACCAACUGCCAUUUUUAAGCAAGUAAUCCAAAGAGCACCAGGAACAAUUUCCCAACCACCAGCCCUGCUUCCAGUCUGCUUCCAGAGCCAUCAUCUAGGGAAGCAACUCCCACAAAUGCUUCUGCAGGACAUAAUCACUUCACUUUAGAGUGGAGGCAUCUGAAAAUCACUGACAAGUUUUCUGGUAUGUGACCUGAAAGCUUCCUGAUAAAUAUUUGCCAGAAAACCGUCAUUCCAACUCUGAAUGAGACCAAUGUGGGAUAAGUAACUUUCAUCCUACUGAGAUUGGAUUGCAGGUUGAAUAAAGAAGGCCCUGUGUGGUGUGGUUUGAGGAGU
This 740-nucleotide long non-coding RNA is filed under the name Monodelphis domestica (gray short-tailed opossum). RNAcentral describes it as "lncRNA (ENSMODG00000041373.1)". The record is from RNAcentral. Lineage: Eukaryota; Metazoa; Chordata; Mammalia; Didelphimorphia; Didelphidae.